This 497-nucleotide ribosomal RNA is filed under the name uncultured bacterium. RNAcentral's name for it is "partial 16S ribosomal RNA". It matches the Rfam family "Bacterial small subunit ribosomal RNA", at positions 28 to 507 of the family's 1533-position model. The record is from RNAcentral.
GAUGAACGCUGGCGGCGUGCCUAAUACAUGCAAGUCGAGCGAACAGACGAGGAGCUUGCUCCUCUGACGUUAGCGGCGGACGGGUGAGUAACACGUGGCUAACCUACCUAUAAGACUGGGAUAACUUCGGGAAACCGGAGCUAAUACCGGAUAAUAUAUUAAACCGCAUGGUUCAAUAGUGAAAGACGGUUUUGCUGUCACUUAUAGAUGGAUCCGCGCCGCAUUAGCUAGUUGGUAAGGUAACGGCUUACCAAGGCAACGAUGCGUAGCCGACCUGAGAGGGUGAUCGGCCACACUGGAACUGAGACACGGUCCAGACUCCUACGGGAGGCAGCAGUAGGGAAUCUUCCGCAAUGGGCGAAAGCCUGACGGAGCAACGCCGCGUGAGUGAUGAAGGUCUUCGGAUCGUAAAACUCUGUUAUUAGGGAAGAACAAAUGUGUAAGUAACUAUGCACGUCUUGACGGUACCUAAUCAGAAAUCCACGGCUAACUACGUG